UUGUAAGUAAUGAAGAGCGUACGGUGGAUGCCUUGGCACCAGGAGCCGAUGAAGGACGUAGGAGGCUGCGAUAAGCCUCGGGGAGCUGUCAACCGAGCUGUGAUCCGAGGAUGUCCGAAUGGGGAAACCCAGCACGAGUGAUGUCGUGUUACCCGCGCCUGAAUAUAUAGGGCGUGUGGAGGGAACGUGGGGAAGUGAAACAUCUCAGUACCCACAGGAAGAGAAAACAACCGUGAUUCCGUGAGUAGUGGCGAGCGAAAGCGGAAGAGGCUAAACCAUGGGUGUGUGAUAGCCGGCAGGUGUUGCAUUCGUGGGGUUGUGGGGUUCAUUUUGUCAAUACUGCCGUGUUGGCCAACAGUAAGAAAUCACAGGGUUAGUGGAAGUGGUCUGGAACGGCCUGUCGU
Molecule: ribosomal RNA, 404 nt
Filed under: Rhodococcus qingshengii
Lineage: Bacteria; Bacillati; Actinomycetota; Actinomycetes; Mycobacteriales; Nocardiaceae
Description: partial 23S ribosomal RNA
Rfam family: Bacterial large subunit ribosomal RNA
Source: RNAcentral